GGAUACGAUCAUACCAGCACUAAAGCACCGGAUCCCAUCAGAACAUCGAAGCUAAGCAUGCUUGGGCGAGAGUAGUACUAGGAUGGGUGACCUCCUGGGAAGUCCUCGUGUUGCAUUCC
Non-coding RNA from Triticum aestivum (bread wheat), 119 nucleotides. NCBI's taxonomy places the organism in Eukaryota, Viridiplantae, Streptophyta, Magnoliopsida, Poales, Poaceae. The record is from Rfam.